Zingiber officinale is the source of this 169-nucleotide small nucleolar RNA. RefSeq annotates it as small nucleolar RNA snoR143. The transcript has a single exon. The record is from RefSeq and is a predicted model, not a curated record. Lineage: Eukaryota; Viridiplantae; Streptophyta; Magnoliopsida; Zingiberales; Zingiberaceae.
UUGCACCUAUUGAUAGACAAGGUUCCUCACUUCCUCCUACUGUUUAUGGAACAUUGCUUCUAGGUGCAGAAGAAAAAGCUGUCUACAGCAGUGUCUAGACAACCGUAGAGAUUGAUCCACAGAUGAUUAGUUUACAAUUCAAGCCAUCGACUAAUUCUUUCUCAUAUUU